RNAcentral lists this small RNA (357 nucleotides) under Microcebus murinus (gray mouse lemur). RNAcentral's name for it is "Metazoan signal recognition particle RNA (ENSMICG00000028822.2)". The stretch from base 1 to 147 matches the Rfam family "Metazoan signal recognition particle RNA". Lineage: Eukaryota; Metazoa; Chordata; Mammalia; Primates; Cheirogaleidae. The record is from RNAcentral.
GCUGGGCAUGGUGGUGCAUGCCUGUAGUCCCAGCUACUCGGGAGGCUGAGGCAGGAGGAUUGCUUGAGCCUAGGAGUUUAAGGUUGCUGUGAGCUAGGCUGACACCACUGCACUUAGCCUGGGCAAUAGAGUGAGACUCUGUCUCAAAAAAAAAAAAAUUAGCAUGGUUAGGUCUGUGGUAUCAGAUGCAAAAAGUAAUGCUGGGUGCAGUGAUGCACCCCUGUAGUCGCAGCUACUCAAGAGGCUGAGGCAGGAGGGUCACUUGAGCCCAGGAGUUCAAGGCUGCAGGAUGCUACAAUCAUACCUGUGAGUAGCCACUGCACUCCAGCCAGGGCAACAUAGUGAGACCCUGUCUCU